AUGCCUCCCUUCCUCGUCGUCUUCAUCCUCCUCCUCCUCCACACAACGUCCUCCUCCGCAUCCCCAGAGUGCGACGUCUACGCCCUUGGGAAGCUCAAGGCUUCCCUCGUCACCACCAGCAACGCCACCGCGCUCGGAGACUGGGAUCCGGCCGCGCCCUCGCCUGCACACUGCUCCUUUUCUGGCGUGACCUGCGACGCCGGCGCGCGAGUCGUCGCCAUCAACAUCAUGGCCCUGUCGCUGCACGGCGGGACGCUGCCCCUGGAUCUGGAGCUGUUCGACGCGCUCGCCAACCUCACCAUCGCGGCGUGCGGCCUCCUGGGCCACUUCCCGGCUUCCCUCCACGCUCUCCCGUUUCUGCGCCACCUCAACCUCUCCAACAACAACCUCACCGGCGCGUUACCCUCCGGCCCUGGCCACCGCUACUUCCCGUCCCUCGAGCUCCUGGACGUCUAUAACAACAACUUGUCCGGCCCGCUGCCAUCCUUCGGCGCUGAGCACGCGGUGACCCUCCGAUACCUGCACCUCGGUGGCAACUACUUCUCUGGCGUGAUUCCCGACGAUUACGGCGACUUGGACAAACUCGAGUACAUCAACCUCGCCGCCUACUGCCUCUCCGGCCUCGUGCCGGCGUCUCUAGGGAGGCUCAAGCGGCUGCGGGAGAUGUACAUGGGCUACUACAACCAGUUCGACGGCGGCAUCCCGGCAGAGUUCGGGGACCUGGAGGCGCUCGUGCUGCUCGACAUGAGCAGCUGCUGCCUCACAGGCCCCAUACCGCCAGAGCUCGGCCAGCUUAAGCUGCUCAACACGCUCUAUAUGUUUCUGAACUGGCUGUCUGGGGAUAUACCGCCGGCACUGGGGGAGCUGAAGAAUCUUGCAUCGCUGGACCUCUCUAUGAACGAGCUCUACGGCAAAAUACCAGCGAGUCUGGCCAAGCUUACAAACCUGAAGCUUCUUAACCUUUUUGGGAACUACCUCCAUGGCGUAAUACCGGAGUUCGUCGCCGACCUGCUGAACCUUGAGGUGCUGCAGCUCUGGGACAACAAUUUCUCCGGUCAUCUCCCAGCUGGACUUGGCAAGAACGGCCGUCUCAAGAAGCUGAACGUGGGCAACAACAAUCUCUCCGGUCAUCUCCCAGCCGGGCUUCGCAAUUACAGUCUCAAGACGCUGGACGUGUCCUACAACCACCUCACCGGUCAUCUCCCACCAGACAUCUGCACAAGCGGGAACUUGGAGAAGCUCGUGCUCAUGGAGAAUGUCUUCUUUGGACCCAUCCCCGUGUCGCUCGGCGACUGCAAAAUGCUCCGGCAUGUCUACCUGAAUAACAACUUUCUCAGCGGUCCAAUCCCUUGA
This 1353-nucleotide ribosomal RNA is filed under the name Triticum aestivum (bread wheat). RNAcentral describes it as "partial small subunit ribosomal RNA". Lineage: Eukaryota; Viridiplantae; Streptophyta; Magnoliopsida; Poales; Poaceae. The record is from RNAcentral.